CGGCUAUAUCCCGCUGAAACACCGGUUCUCGUGCAAUCAGCGAAGUUAAGCAACAUUGACCCUCUUCAGAACCUAGAUCGGUGACCGCUUGGGAAUACCAGGUGUUGCAAG
Molecule: non-coding RNA, 111 nt
Organism: Acanthosepion pharaonis
Lineage: Eukaryota; Metazoa; Mollusca; Cephalopoda; Sepiida; Sepiidae
Source: the annotation of a GenBank genome assembly